Long non-coding RNA from Hordeum vulgare subsp. vulgare (domesticated barley), 707 nucleotides. RefSeq lists it as uncharacterized. The transcript is spliced from 2 exons. Lineage: Eukaryota; Viridiplantae; Streptophyta; Magnoliopsida; Poales; Poaceae. The record is from RefSeq and is a predicted model, not a curated record.
UUAUGAUGCAUAUACACACCAAGAGAGCAGCCCGAUCGGAGUUGUGUUUCCUUUUCUUUCCUUUCCUUGUUAUACUUUUUCCUUUCCUUUCCGUGUCAUAUUAUAAAUUAUGACGAGAUUGAUGUAGACACGAGAGGAACUACCUCCACCAACGGUGCACUGCAUCUUCUAAACACGGAUAUAUUUUAAAAUCACCUCCACAACAUCCAUUGUGCGAUGAUGAGCCACCUUGCAACACCAUAGAGAGACCUAGAGAUAGCCGUACCACUACACAAGUUCACCGUUUCAGUUACCCCAUCGACCCAUGUGAGGUUCCCGUGGUGGAAGGAGAGAGGAUGUCCGAGCAGAGGAGGGGGUGUGCGCCCAUCGCUAGCAACUCUGUGAAGGAGAGGAGUAUUUGUUGCUAAUGCUCUAUGGGUCACGACCAGAUUGAUGUAGGUUCAGUCAUCUCCGACGCCAAUCUGCCCUAUCAUCUAGGACAAGGAGGAUUUAGAAGGAUGUGGAGGACAAAGCUUGAGAUUGUGGAGACUAGAGAUUGAGAUGGAUUGAUCCUCAAUCUUGAAUAGUUUUCACUGGUCACGUUCGUCAUGUGUAGUGUUACCAUGCUAUGUUAAUUAACCUGAGAUGGAUAACUAGUGUAACAUCCCAAAUUUCCUAUUUGGAAUGUUUUACAAUUGUAGCUAAGCAUCUAUGCAUUUUUGUUUGAA